This is a long non-coding RNA of Neofelis nebulosa (Clouded leopard), 2864 nucleotides long. RefSeq lists it as uncharacterized. Lineage: Eukaryota; Metazoa; Chordata; Mammalia; Carnivora; Felidae. The transcript has 5 exons. The record is from RefSeq and is a predicted model, not a curated record.
UGCUCACAGACCCAAGAAACGAUGCAUCGUAUCGCUGAUGCAGCUCUUAACGUAUUCAUUAAGAACUUCAUCGCAGACCAUGACCCAGAUCGUGUUGCAUCUUUCUCAGACUCAUUUGAUAACUUCUAAGAUCCUAAUGUAUUUGCCAUAAACAUGAGAAUCUAAGAAUACUGUUUUAUAUUUCUUCCCCCAAGGGUGUGCCAGAAGAAUACAGGGGGGAAAAAAGGACCCCCCCUGCCAAAUUUAAUAAUUUUAUAUUGCUUACCCUUGACUCUUCCAGGUCAUUUCGCUCCCCGUGCCCCAAAGUAAGUGCAGCUCUCAGUUUGUUUCCACGGAAAUUAUGGAAGCCUUAAGGAAACUGUUCCCAUUUUGAGACUGCAUCUCCUCUUGAUGGUCCAUCACUUAGGAGCAUUUUCUAUAAGUCAAGUUUCCUGUGCCCCUACCUUGUUACCAUCUGCUUCUGGCUGGUGAGAGAUUAACAGGGUGGGAAGGGGCAGGGUUGAGCCAAGCAGGGUAGUCCUCUGGACUGUCCACCAAGUCCCCCUGUCUACAGGUCACUUAUAUGUCAUGGACACUGUGGAGGUUUCUGAUGUGCUGCUGUCUGCAAAUUGUUCAAAGUUUAACAUGGACUGAACUUUCACUACCUAAACAAACAGCAGGGAAUAAACCAAGGGUGACUUUGCAUUAAGUGCUAUGAUUUCAAUUUGCUCUACGCGUAGGUGGAGUAGAUGGACCCUUAUCUGAUAUGAUUCAGGAGCUUUGGAAUCCAUGAUGAUAAAGGUAAUGUUUAUGGAGUGUUUUGUCCGCCAUAUGCCCGUUGCUACUUAAUCUUUCCAACAACUCUAUCGGGCAGCAAUUCUUACAAUGCUUUGUUUCAGUUCUCUUUAAACUCUUACAAUUAUUGAGGACCCCAAAUAGCUUUUGCCCAUGUGAGCUGUAUACCUAUUGACAUUUACCGUAUUAGAAAUUCAAUUGAAAAAAACGAAAACAGGGAUUUACAGACACACUUUCCGUUAGCCGUCAGAGCAAUGACAACCAUGACAGGUCACAGAGCCUCGGGAAAACUGUAUAUGUGUGAGAGGAUGAGAGUGAAAAGGGAAAGUAAUAUUUUUGCCCUAUUAUGAAAAUGAUUUUUGACUUCAGGGACCCCUGAAAGAGCCUUGGGGGCCUCCAGGGUCCUUGGAUCACCUUUUGAGAACCACUGUUAAGAAUCCUGCCAUCAUUCUGUGAGAAGCCCAAACUUCAUGGAGAGGCCACAUGGAAGAAAACCAGGAUUCAGGGGACAACAACUCCAGCUGAUUGCUGGCUAACACCCAGACUACAGCCACAUGAGUCAUCUUGGAUGCUGUAGACUAAUUGGCCUUCCAGAUCCACUUCCAACUGAUCUCUGCAGGAAGAAGCAUUCUGAGAUCAUAGAGAAGCUGGAUUCAGCCUAAAAACUGCCCCUGCCCACAGGUCCCAGAUACUAAGCCGAUGAAUGCCUUCAGUCAGAGCCAUUUACUGCUGUGUCCGUGCAUCAUGUGAAACCAUCCCAUGCGCCAAACGUGUUACCAGCACUGCACGUCUCAUACCCCGCUGACACCUGUCUGCCUCUCCUGGAUCCAUCAGUUAGUAUCGUUCCCUCUGAGAGCAUAAGGUUAGUUUGAGGAACUCGAAAUGUGGUAGACGCCAACUAACUCAUUUUCUUGGCUCCCGUAUCUGCCCUCAUUAUCCCUGCUGUCACGAAAACACGGAGCUUGCUAGGUCUUUUCUUCACUUACAAUCUGGCCGUUGCUUCCCAUUUCUCUAGGGUGGCACAGGUCAUCUUGCCAGUCUAGCUUUCCAGCCCAGUCUUCUUUCUCCCUUCCUCUAACCUUGUCCUCUUAAGACUCAGCAUUGCUGGGUUCCUGGUCACUGCCUAAAUUUGCUAGUCUUUUCCAUCCUUGUACAUGGAACACCCUCUACCUGGAAUGCCUUCACGCUUCCUAUGCUGCAAGACUCAAAUCAAACGUCAUUUUCUUUGGGAAGCCUUCUACUCCUCCCAGGAGAGUGAAACCUGCCUCUUCUGAAGUCCUACGGAAUAUUGCAUUUUCCUUGAAUUAGAAUUGCUGCCUUGCAAUCCAGUCCCUUCUUUGUAUUUACCAUGGCCACUUGGCUGUGAGUCCCUCAGGGAUGGGUAAUUUGCCAGGCAUCCCUGUCCUCGUGCCUUACCUAACAUGGAGUUUGUGGUAGGUAGAACUCUGAGAUGGCCCCAGGAUCCCUCGCCCCUGGUUAUUCCAACACUAAGCUAGGCACUACUGUGAAAAGGUAUUGCAAAUGUAACUAAAGCCUCAGAUCAGUUGACCUUAAAAUCCGGAGAUUAUGAAGAUUAUCUGGAUAGGCCUGAUCUAAUCAUGUGAGCCCUUUAAAAGCAGACAGAUUUUUCUGGCUGGUUGAAGAAGAAGUCAGAGACAUCCAAAGCAGGAGAGGGAUUUCACACAGGGGAAAUUCUCCGUGGCUGCAAUGGAGGGUCCCAUGUGGCAAGGACCUGGGAGCCACCUCUAGGAGCUGAGCACAGGCCCUGGCUGAUAGUUAACAAGACAACGGGGACCUUAGUCCUCCAGCCACAGGAAAUGAAUUCUGCCAAGAGCCACUGAGCUCAGAAGAGCACCCUGGGACCCAGACCAGGCCUGAAGCUCUGGCUGACACCUCUUUUUUCCCAGUGAGACCCCGAGCAGAAAAGUCAGUGGUUCCAUGUCCAGACUCCUGCCCUACAUGUUGUGCAGUGAUGAAUUUGUGCUGUUCUACACUGCUCAGUGUCUGGUAACUCCUCACACGCCAAUAGAAGACUGAUAAAGGAUGGAUGCUGAGUAAAUGCUGAAUGAAUAAAUGCAUGGGAACAUGUA